UCCAAUGUGGUGUAGUGGCUAACAUUGCUGUCUUUCACGUAUCCUUCUCAAAUGCGCACAGCAGCCCGGGGUUCGAUUCCCCGCAUUGGAA
Marasmius oreades (fairy-ring Marasmius) is the source of this 91-nucleotide non-coding RNA. Lineage: Eukaryota; Fungi; Basidiomycota; Agaricomycetes; Agaricales; Marasmiaceae. The record is from the annotation of a RefSeq genome assembly.